RNAcentral lists this ribosomal RNA (439 nucleotides) under uncultured bacterium. RNAcentral's name for it is "partial 16S ribosomal RNA". It matches the Rfam family "Bacterial small subunit ribosomal RNA", at positions 338 to 795 of the family's 1533-position model. The record is from RNAcentral.
CCUACGGGAGGCAGCAGUGGGGAAUAUUGCACAAUGGGGGAAACCCUGAUGCAGCGACGCCGCGUGAGUGAAGAAGUAUUUUGGUAUGUAAAGCUCUAUCAGCAGGGAAGAAAAUGACGGUACCUGAUUAAGAAGCCCCGGCUAACUACGUGCCAGCAGCCGCGGUAAUACGGAGGAUGCGAGCGUUAUCCGGAUCUAUUGGGUUUAAAGGGUGCGCAGGGGGUCUGUUAAGUCAGCGGUCAAAGCCCGGGGCCAAACCCCGGCCCGCCGUUGAAACUGGCAGACUCGAGUUGGAGAGAAGUAUGCGGAAUGCGCGGUGUAGCGGUGAAAUGCAUAGAUAUCGCGCAGAACUCCGAUUGCGAAGGCAGCAUGCCGGCUCCACACUGACGCUGAGGCACGAAAGCGUGGGUAUCGAACAGGAUUAGAUACCCCAGUAGUC